RNAcentral lists this ribosomal RNA (262 nucleotides) under uncultured prokaryote. Its description in RNAcentral is "partial 16S ribosomal RNA". It matches the Rfam family "Bacterial small subunit ribosomal RNA", at positions 524 to 784 of the family's 1533-position model. The record is from RNAcentral.
UACGUAGGGUGCGAGCGUUGUCCGGAAUUACUGGGCGUAAAGAGCUCGUAGGUGGUUUGUCGCGUCGUCUGUGAAAUUCCGGGGCUUAACCUCGGGCGUGCAGGCGAUACGGGCAAUACUUGAGUGCUGUAGGGGAGACUGGAAUCCCUGGUGUAGCGGUGAAAUGCGCAGAUAUCAGGAGGAACACCAAUGGCGAAGGCAGGUUUCUGGGCAGUUACUGACGCUGAGGAGCGAAAGCAUGGGUAGCGAACAUGAUUAGAUA